CCCGCAUAUCCAGGGAACCCCUGGAAAGAGUGCUUCACUUCUCAGUCCUUUGAAUAACCGUUCUGCUCGAAUUAAAGAUCCUGUUUCAUCACUUCCUUUAUAUUAGUUCAUGUGACGCUUUCUCCUACAAGGAAAUUUGUAUGAUGUGGGGACUGAAUCGCUAUGCGACUCAUUACAGCAUCCGAAUCAAAAAUCUGAGACGACCUAAUAGACUGCCGUUGAAACUGUUGCAACUGCGGGCCAAGCCGGACGUAGUCCACAUGCAUAUCAAAGAUGCAGCCCGUUUGCUGCCGGGUUGCUGAUUGAAAAAAUUACGUUGAAACAGGGAGCAGUACCAUGUGUAUUCGAUGCUCAUCGUUUCAGUGCGGUCAAUGCUUUUCUUCUUUCUGAGAUACAAUUGGUGAAAUACAAAUCUUGUUGCGUAGUGCCUACGUCCUCAACAAAGGUGGCAACAAAAAGUCCGCCAGAGGGAUGCAGGAAACACACAAUGCCGCUGCAACAACGAUAUUGGUUAAAAAUAUUCUAAAACAGACGGUCAUAAUACUUAAUAUAGUAUAGCUAAGUCUUUCGCCGCGCUGGUCAAUGAAGUGAGUUCGUGGAAAACUUGGAUAUCAGAC
This 617-nucleotide small RNA is filed under the name Histoplasma ohiense. Its description in RNAcentral is "hypothetical lncRNA". The record is from RNAcentral. Lineage: Eukaryota; Fungi; Ascomycota; Eurotiomycetes; Onygenales; Ajellomycetaceae.